CUCAGCCGAUUGCACACAAGAAAAUCUUGUCAGUGGUCUCUCAGUGCCUGCAUGAUGGUUAAUAAGGAAAAGGCAGAGGAUGAAGGACACACCUAACAUAUAAUUUAAAGUCAGCUUGAUUUGGCAGAAAGUCUUCUAGAAGUUAAGAGACCUGGCUGCUAAUUUGUUCUUUGCCACUGGCUAGCUGUGUAAGCUCAAGCAAACCCCAUUUCUCUUGGGCUUCAUGAGGUGAAAGGAAUGGAUAAGAAAAACAAAAAAACAACAAAAAAAGAAAGGAAUGGAAUAGCUUAAAUCCUCCGGACUUAUUCUGAACAUAGGAAACAGCUUUAUCUCAUGUGCUUGUCUUCUUUUCACCUUCUCUCCCUGUACCUAUCCUGUGAACCUCUGUAGAGUGAUUUUCGCACCACACCCUCCAUUGGUGGCUCUUCCGGGGCUGAUGGUAUUUUCUCCUUGCACCAUCUCAGGGUGUGUUCUUUGGUGUGCUGCUCUUUGGAAGGUACUGUGUUUGCAGGGGGAGUGUCAUUCUCAGAGGGACCCAACCCUCAUUUUUAUAAGCAAAUUGUCUUCAAAUAGGGCUGUAAAUUACGACUUUGAGUCAAAAUUGAUCAAAUACAAAAUGAAAUGUAAGUUUGGAGGAGGUGGUCACUAAGGUACAUUCCAGGCUGUAGACUUCAUGAUGUUUUGAUACUUGAGCAGAGACCUGAGUACAGGUUCCAACUUUAUUAGUUGUAUGACAUUGGGCAAGUUACGUUGCUGCUUUAAGAUAUAGUUGCUUCAUCUGUAAAUGAGGAAAUAAUUUAUUCUUAUUUACAGAUGAAGCAACCACAUGGUAUCUUGUGGAGUUAUUAUGAAGAUUAAAUGGAUUAAUGCAUGCAAAUUGUAUAGCACGGCACUUGACACUCAGUAAAGACUUACCAAUAUUAUAAUCAAUGCACCUGGAGGUGAAGCGCAUUGAUAACUAAAGAAGCCAUCCAACCCUGACUAAGUGCAAGCUUUAAGUCAGCAUUUUACAGAUGUUAAAAAUGCAGAGACAUGAAUGCUGAAGCAUUAUGUUUAAAACAAUUUUUAAACUUUUAGAAUACUCCAUAGAAUUCUAACCUUAUAAACAGCCCUGAGCCCCAGGACUGUCCAGUGUAUUUUAGAAAUAAUAUCCAUCCCCUCUCCCCCAGCUCUCCCAUUAGUGUGGGAUUUCCUCCUUUAGAAUCUUAUUUAUUAGGCCCUAUUUUAAAACAGGUGACUGAAAUUCUAUCAGCACCAGAACCACAAAUAGUGCUGAAAUUAUGCAUACAAUUCUUUAAAAAAUAAAAUCCAGAAGACCAGGGUGAGAGGAAGGAGAGCAGAUUUGUCGUAUAACUGCAAGUGUGGGAAGAAUUUUGGGCUUUCACAAAGGGUUUGGAGAUCUUUACUGAUAAAAUCCUUUGUCUAUUUUUACUAUCGUUUGUUUUUCUCCCCCUUGAUCCAAGCCAUAAAGCAGGGCAGGAGUUGGUUGCUUACCUUCUCACAAACAGGGAAGAAUCUUGUAGUGGCUUUUUCAAGGAUGUAUGCAAGAUUCAUCUCCUCUUCAGGCAGAGACAGUGGCAAGAACAUAAUCAUGUUACUCAGGUCCUUCAAGCCUUCUACAUACAUAUGAAUCCUAGAAAAAGGAUGGUAAUUCAAAAAAAAGUUACAGAUAAAGGGAACUCUCAUUUCACGGGCCAAAGAAACAUUUUAAGUAGUGCCUCAGUUUCACCCGCUUAGCUAUCAAGUGUUCUCAUGGAGCAUUGUUCCAGGAGCUAAAGCCAAGCGUUUUCAGCAGCAUACUGUUCCUUUAGAUCCAACUGGGAGAUAGAAAAGUUGUAGGAUCAAAGUGUGUGAGCAAUUAUAUGUAUGUGACUGUCAAUUAUGUAAGACUAGUGUUAAUAAAAUACAUACACACAAAGUAUUAAAAUAAUCCCAAAGCAGCAAAUUGGGCAAAUAUCAUUUAUGGCUAUUUAGUUGUUGUAAUAAUAGAUCACCCAUGCUGCUACGGAUGAUGCAUGUGGAAGAAGAGGUAAUAAGGACCUCUGCACUGCCAGACACAUCUCCAUCUGGAUUGAAGGUUCUCAAACAUCGUAGAGCAAUUUCAUAGAACACAAAAUUUACACAAGUUCCCACUUGCCACCACCCACAUCUCUGUUGCAGAAUGUAUGGAAACAUGGAUGUUAUAUUUGACAAGAUACCAUGACAUAGUGAGACUACUGGUGUGGGCCUUGGGAAACUUUGGUCUGGGUCCAAGAUGAGUCUCUUAAUCUUUUUGAACCACAGUUCCUUUAACCUACAAUAGCAGUGCAUGUCUUAAAAUGGCCUCAGAUUCUUUGCUACUUCUCCUAUUUAGAGUAAGUUUCAUUCUCCCCUUGAAUCUGAGUGGGCCUCAGAGACUUGCUUGGCCAACAGAAUGUGAGGAAGUAAUGUCCUUAGACUUGUAUGUCUAGGACAUAAGUCUCACAGCUUCCACUGGGUCCUCUUGGAACAUUUGCUCAGAGGCCAACCAGCUACUAUGUACAAAGUCCAACUACACUGAGAACCUCAUGCCAUGUGGAAGCCCAAGCUAGUCCUGUGAAGAAGGCAUGUGGAGAGAGACAGAUGCCCCAUUAGGCCCAUAUGGUCCAGCUAUAUGGCAGAUGUACUUGAUAGCAAUACCCUGAGAAUGGUCCUGUGGUCUAAGAAGAAUUUGUGUUUGGAGUUCCAAGCUAAGGAAUCCAGGAGUGGCCCACCUAGAGAUUCAUUCCUUAUCUAUGAGGAGCAUCUGAACCCCUGGUGCAUCCCAUGGAAUGCAGGCCAUGCAAGGGAUUGAGGCCCUUUGUUCUGGGUUACAUAAAGGUUGCCAGGUGGAGGUUGCAAGGGAGAGGGUGCUAAGUGAAAAUGCCAUAUAACCAGCAUGCUUUUUACAAUGGUAGUUGUUCUCCUGUCCAGCCUGCCACCACUGGACCGCGUUGUAUGUAAGUCCCCUCAAUAAAUCCCAAGUCUUGUUUGCUGGC
Macaca mulatta (Rhesus monkey) is the source of this 2996-nucleotide non-coding RNA. Lineage: Eukaryota; Metazoa; Chordata; Mammalia; Primates; Cercopithecidae. The record is from RefSeq and is a predicted model, not a curated record.